AUAUAGGGUCCCGUCGUACGCAUGCUGCCCGGCUCGCCAUCGGACCGCGGGAAUUAUGGACUGCGAGUGACCUCCAUACGACUCGGCUGGCUGGACUAAGAGCUGAGCGCUUGACAGACCGACUAUCAACUGACCCAGGUUACCUUAAGUACGACUCAGAGCGUGAACCUGUAGAGUCUACCUUGUUACGACUUGGCUGACUGAGGUUACCUUGGUACGACUUCCCCGCGGCGGCUGAUACUGAGGCGGUCAAAUCACUAGGGCGGCCUACUGCAAGUCUA
Molecule: ribosomal RNA, 281 nt
Filed under: uncultured bacterium
Lineage: Bacteria
Description: partial 16S ribosomal RNA
Source: RNAcentral